Molecule: ribosomal RNA, 157 nt
Filed under: Heteroepichloe bambusae
Lineage: Eukaryota; Fungi; Ascomycota; Sordariomycetes; Hypocreales; Clavicipitaceae
Also listed under: 1 other name
Description: 5.8S ribosomal RNA
Rfam family: 5.8S ribosomal RNA
About the family: 5.8S ribosomal RNA (5.8S rRNA) is a component of the large subunit of the eukaryotic ribosome. It is transcribed by RNA polymerase I as part of the 45S precursor that also contains 18S and 28S rRNA.
Source: RNAcentral
AAACUUUCAACAACGGAUCUCUUGGUUCUGGCAUCGAUGAAGAACGCAGCGAAAUGCGAUAAGUAAUGUGAAUUGCAGAAUUCAGCGAAUCAUCGAAUCUUUGAACGCACAUUGCGCCCGCCAGUAUUCUGGCGGGCAUGCCUGUCCGAGCGUCAUU